UUUCCGUAGGUGAACCUGCGGAAGGAUCAUUACUGAGUUGUUGGCAUGAGCUGUUGCUGGUCCCCAAACCUGGGGGCAUGUGCACGCUCUGUUCACACAUCCACUCACACCUGUGCACCCUCUGUGGUUCUACGGUCUGGGGGACACACCGUCUUCCGCUCUGUGGUUCUGCAUCUUUACACACACACACCUUAGUGAAGUCUUAUGGAAUGUGCAUCGCGUUUAACGCAAUACAAUACAACUUUCAGCAACGGAUCUCUUGGCUCUC
RNAcentral lists this unclassified non-coding RNA (268 nucleotides) under soil metagenome. RNAcentral's name for it is "partial contains small subunit ribosomal RNA, internal transcribed spacer 1, and 5.8S ribosomal RNA". The record is from RNAcentral.